Molecule: long non-coding RNA, 610 nt
Organism: Hirundo rustica (Barn swallow)
Lineage: Eukaryota; Metazoa; Chordata; Aves; Passeriformes; Hirundinidae
Exons: 3
Source: RefSeq, a predicted model, not a curated record
GAACUAUUUCAUCAUCGUGUUCGGCUUUUGGCAGUGCCUUUAUGUGUUUAUCCCUUUAUACAGACAUUACGACCGGAAAGAGGCAUCUCUCAAAUAUUUCAGCUAUUCUUUGCAUACUAGUCUACAUUGACCAGGUGCAGAUGACAUCCUAGACAGGACAUCACCUUGACCAAGCCAGGUAUACCUAGAGCACAACCUAGAAGCAAACUAAGGAUGUGUUACUCUUCUCCGCUGCACUUGGUCUCCUGCUUCUGGAGUACACUAGUUGCAAAACUCCUUUUCAGGUCUUUUCUGUGUCAUUAGAACAUCCUUUCUGUUCCUGGACCAAAUUAUUUAAUUAUUUCAUAUGAAGUGGAGCAGCUUUAACAGAGAUGAAUGAAAAUUUCUAUUUUAGAAUACUCAGAAUUACCUGUCCAGCUAUUUUUCUCAUGUGCUUUAAGCCUGGCAUUUCUUAGUCACUGUAAAAGCUGAUUGAUUUGACUCUGUUCUAUCUCUCUGUGUACAAGUGUUUAAUCCAAAGCUGCCUUGCUACCCUCUUGUAUUGGAUAUUUUCUCAUCUGUGUUGUGUAUUCUGAAUUAUAAUAUGAAUAUGGAGGGUUGAAUAUAAAUA